CAUGUACUCCCUCUGUUCUGAAUUACUUGUCUUAGAUUUGUCCAGAUACGGAUGUAUCUAGACUCAUUUUAGUGCUGGAUACAUCCGUAUCUAGACAAAUCCAAGACAAGUAAUUCGGAACGGAGGGAGUAGUAU
Non-coding RNA from Triticum aestivum (bread wheat), 135 nucleotides. NCBI's taxonomy places the organism in Eukaryota, Viridiplantae, Streptophyta, Magnoliopsida, Poales, Poaceae. The record is from Rfam.